Molecule: ribosomal RNA, 468 nt
Filed under: uncultured bacterium
Lineage: Bacteria
Description: partial 16S ribosomal RNA
Rfam family: Bacterial small subunit ribosomal RNA
Source: RNAcentral
GACGAACGCUGGCGGCGUGCUUAACACAUGCAAGUCGAACGGAAAGGCCAUGCUUUUGUGGCGUGCUCGUGUGGCGAACGGGUGAGUAACACGUGAGUAACCUGCCCUUGACUUUGGGAUAUCAUCAGGAAACUGCGGCUAAUACAGCAUAGGAGCUCCUGCUGCAUGGUGGGCGAUGGAAAGUUUCGGCUGUUGGGGAUGGACUCGCGGCUUAUCAGCUUGUUGGUGGGGUAGUGGCUUACCAAGGCUUUGAAGGGUAGCCGGCCUGAGCGGGUGAACGGCCACAUGGGGACUGAGAGACGGCGCAGACGCCUACGGGAGGCAGCAGUGGAGAAUAUGGCACAAUGGGCGGAAGCCUGAUGCAGCAACGCCGCGUGCGUGAUGACGUCCUUCGGGUUGUAAACCGCUUUCGCCUGUGACGAAGCGUGAGUGACGGUAAUGGGUAAAGAAGCACCGGCUAACUACGUG